GGAAGUUAAAAAACUGUUUCUUAACUUUUAACUAAAAAGGUUAAGAACCGGUUUUUAAAGUUCUUAUUUAAGAAUCGGUUCUUAACUUUUUUGGUUAAAAAUUAAGAAACAGUUUCUUAACUUCC
Molecule: microRNA precursor, 125 nt
Filed under: Brassica carinata (Ethiopian mustard)
Lineage: Eukaryota; Viridiplantae; Streptophyta; Magnoliopsida; Brassicales; Brassicaceae
Also listed under: 1 other name
Description: MIR9563 microRNA precursor family
Rfam family: MIR9563 microRNA precursor family
Source: Rfam by way of RNAcentral